This is a long non-coding RNA of Cucumis melo (muskmelon), 1294 nucleotides long. RefSeq lists it as uncharacterized. The transcript is spliced from 2 exons. NCBI's taxonomy places the organism in Eukaryota, Viridiplantae, Streptophyta, Magnoliopsida, Cucurbitales, Cucurbitaceae. The record is from RefSeq and is a predicted model, not a curated record.
CAACUGUAAGAAGAUUGAAAAGAAUCAUCCAAGAAAUGUUCGUUAUAGAAGGAGUUGAAGUAUUUGAAAAUGGUUGAAAUGAAAGGUUGAAGAAAGGAAGAGAGAGUGAAAGAAUGUAAUACAAGAAGCGGAAGCGGAAGCGGAAGUGGAAGGGGAAGCGGAAUCAUCGUCGCCAUGGGAUUUUGGGAAGACGAUGAUCCUUCUUUUCUUUCCCAUUGUCCCGUUUCUUCGUCACUAACGAAAAUGGAGCGACUAAGUGACAAACCCAAGUCCUUUUAUACGGUCUAAAUUUGAAUUCUAUAUUUUAUACCAUCCGUCCUAAACUCGAUUUUGUUUCGAUUUGUUAUUAAAAUAAAUAAAUAAACAUCCAUUAAAUCUUAAACUAAUAAGGAUAUCAAAACACUGAGGGCUGUUUGGUAGUAGGAGUAUCACUAUAACCUAACCCCGUUUUAGAGUUUUCAUAAUACCUGUUUUAGUCCUCAACCCUUCAAUUUCCACUCUGCCGAUUUCUCUUCCCAAUCCUUUCCCUUCGACUCGUGUUCAUCACUUCUCUCAAUCCAUGUAACACCUUUUCGAUCAGUCUUCUUCUUCCACUUUUCGAUUUCUGUGGUUCGUUCUUCUCCCUCUUCUCUUCCAUUUUUGUUUUACAUCCAUUCGUGUGUGAGGUUUAGCUUUUUGGUUGAAAAAUUCAUUCCCCCGUUUCCAUGGAAAAGGGGUUUCCUAUAGUGAUGUCGAAGGUCGAUCUACAUCUCUCUCAUCAGUCUCUCUCACUCCCUGAAAACCGACUGUGGGUUUGUUGAAGGUGGUGCUCCACCGGCAUUGCCUCCAAACUUCUUUCGAUUUUCUUUUUUUGGGUUUUAUUGAAAGGCUCGGUCCAAUUGUUGCCUUCGAAACCAACCGAUGCACGUUCCAUAGGGUGUUCUCCGUGAACAUACAUCUUCGUUUUCCCUUUGGAAUCGUUUCCUUGACGCUUGAUAAAACCCUCUUGUCGCUCAGUGUUCCCGUUGCCGUUUUGGGUUGCCCUUUACUGAUUUAGAAUAGAAACUUCACAACCUUGCCUGGAAAUGGGUCAAAAUCGAGCAUGGUAGGGAGGACGUCGUCCUUCACAAUAACUUUGUACGAGGAACGUUGGAUUAGCCGUUAGUAGUACUUUUUUUUUUUCAUUUUUUGGUUUUCUUUCCUUUAUCGUUAAACCGUUUGUAAUGUAAUUUCACUUGUUCCGAAAACAGUUUUGGUUUUCUUAUUUUCCUUCUCUUUCGUUUUGUAUUUAUUAAAUUGCGCUCAUUUUCUUAAA